Molecule: long non-coding RNA, 586 nt
Organism: Osmerus eperlanus (European smelt)
Lineage: Eukaryota; Metazoa; Chordata; Actinopteri; Osmeriformes; Osmeridae
Exons: 3
Source: RefSeq, a predicted model, not a curated record
CGUGCCAACUCGCCGCCAUCUUGGGGAGGUAAUGACUCGCCUGUAAACAAACGCAAGUGAACGGUGGAGCUGCGGCUUUUCUGGUUAAAAAGCACUUUAGCGUUUACAUUUCUUAACCGAUUCCGUUGAGUCGUUUAUAUAUUCAAGGGUUUAUGAUCUACGUGGAGUACCAAAAAAAGUUUUGUCUCCAUGUUACUUAGAAUCUCGAUAGUUAGAUAUUUUCCUGCAGUAGUGAAUAUUGUACGAUUACGGCUCAGAACAAGAUGAACUAGAAUCAGAGUGUAAGUAGCUAGUGCUAAUGUGAAUCGCGUAUGGUUAUGUAUAAAACAAUUCUGGUGUCUUGAAUUGGACAAUAAAGUUAACGUUAGCUAGCGUUAGCUAACUUCAACUUUGUCUUUGGACCAGUUUAUCAUCGGAGUGAAGUGGAGGAGUUUGAUAGGGGGAUAUCUAAACAAUUGUGCACAAAAGGGAGACCAUUCAACUAGAUGAAGUUAUAUGGAGGUCGAUAUGGAGGUCUAGAUGGAGUGAUAUGGAGGGGUGAUUGUCAUUGUGACAAUUGUUCAAAAUAAACAAUGUAUAUCUUGAA